UACAGAGGGUGCAAGCGUUAAUCGGAAUUACUGGGCGUAAAGCGUGCGUAGACGGUUGCGUAAGUCAGAUGUGAAAGCCCCGGGCUCAACCUGGGAAUUGCAUUUGAGACUGCGUAGCUAGGGUGCGGAAGAGGGAAGCGGAAUUUCCGGUGUAGCGGUGAAAUGCGUAGAUAUCGGAAGGAACACCAGUGGUGAAAGCGGCUUCCUGGUCCAGCACCGACGUUCAGGCACGAAAGCGUGGGGAGCAAACAGG
Molecule: ribosomal RNA, 253 nt
Filed under: uncultured bacterium
Lineage: Bacteria
Description: partial 16S ribosomal RNA
Rfam family: Bacterial small subunit ribosomal RNA
Source: RNAcentral